This is a long non-coding RNA of Passer domesticus (house sparrow), 5662 nucleotides long. RefSeq lists it as uncharacterized. The record is from RefSeq and is a predicted model, not a curated record. NCBI's taxonomy places the organism in Eukaryota, Metazoa, Chordata, Aves, Passeriformes, Passeridae. The transcript has 2 exons.
CCGGAGCCUGCGGGCAGGAGCGGGGCCCGGCCCGGGCGCUGCAGGGAUGCGCAUUCCGUGUUUAAAAAUAGUGUGGGUGUGAGGGAGCAGGAGGCCUGGUAUGCUCGCAGCACCCGAGGAUGGGCAGUUCUCCGCUCCACGCUGCGGUUCCAGCAUUCGUGGAGAUGUCUAACACCCUCAUGGAGAUACCCUGCAUGCUCAUCCUACGGUUUAAGGCUUCACACACGGAGAUUUUUUUUAUCUGGAUGCAGUCCUGUGGUCAUCGAGGAAAAGAAAUUUAUAUUUAAAAGAGUGAGGAAUACAAGGCUGAGUACAUGCACUCAUGAAGGCUGAUGUUGCUCUCUAAUAUGUAUACAUUGAAAUUGUUUGUAGUUUGAGGGUUAUUUCUUUCCCUCAACAUGAAAAGAGAUAAAGCAGCAUCUCACUAUUGCAAUGCAAGACUGUAACCAUCAGGAGAACCGACUUGGAAUCCGAGUAUCAGAUUUCAUCCUUUCCUGGUCACUGUUCUUGUGGCCUGAUGUCAGGCCCUUCUGUGGGUCAAAGAACACCAGUUACAUGUAUUUUUAGUUUAUUAGGACAAAUUCCUGAGAUGCCUCUGGUGAACCAGGCUCUGUGGAGGGCCACUGCCAAAGGCAUGCUCUGACCACAGUGCUUUCACUCUAAUGCAGCACUGCAGCUCAUUCCUUUACUCUUUUUUUUGUCUUCUACAAAAGCCCCACAGCCCCAUCUCGCUCACUGCUGUUCAGGCACUCCGCAGCUCUGUCAUAAGGCAGAACCUCCAACUGAAAAGCUGUUUAUUUUCCUGCUUGUCUGUGUUAAACAUUCCCCUGCUGAGCCAUUUUUAAUAUUUGCUAAAUAUGCCUUAAUUACUGCUCGGAACCGUCUCUGUGAUCUUUUAACCAUGUUAUAAAAGGAGUUUAUGUAGCAAUUAGAAACAGGUUUUACCCCAGAGCAGGCACCCGGGUAGCCAGUGUCAUAUUUCUGAUAGCUAACAGCAUGUUAAAAAUGGAUCUGAGCCAGGCACCAACUACAAAAAGAGGCUUAUACACUUAAUUUUACCACAUGCUUUUAAAUUCAGAACCAUCUUUUGGAUUCUCUCAUUCUGGGCUGAAAAUCCUCUCCCUGAAGGCAGUGCUAAAACUCUCACUGCUUUAGACCACUGGGGUAGGAUUAGGUCCACAAUGUGCCUUGUUCUUUAAGAAUAACCACAGGCUUUGAUCAAAAUUAAAAUUUAAAAUGUUCACUGGCAAGACCACUAGUGGCCACGUGAGCAUAGAGAGAUGAGUGCUACAUUUUAGUUUUCCAGCUCUGCCAUGAAAAAUGCAUUUCCAUAUUUUUAAACCCAGAUCUCUCAUUCAGUCAUAGACUCCAGGUCUCAUAAAUUUUGCUUUUCUUUUUUUUUUUUUUAAUGAACUCAGCAUUUUGAGUCUCUCAAAAGUCAGGGGUUGCUGUUGCCCUCAUUCAUUUAGUGGCUUGUUCCAAGAUGAGUCUGCUGAAGGAUGAAAACAUGGAGCUGGAUUCCACAAAGCUUUUAUUCCUUAGCCAGCUUCAGGCCUCCAAGCAGCACCUUCUCCUCUCUCAUCACUUCUGCCCAUCCUAUUUUCCUCAUUUUCUGAAUUUUGCCUGUCUCGUGUAGGCUGUGAGCUCCUCAGGGCAGAGGCAAUGCCUCUAUUUAUAGAAGAGCUGUGAAGUGGUGCUGCUGAAUCAAGUGCUCUUUUGUAAUAACAAGAAAUUUUAGUGGAAAUAUGAAGUGGAAAAGCAGCUUCCUGGUGUAUCCACCUCCGCUCUGGACCGGGCUUUAGGGGAGACUGAGAAGUGGAAAAACUUCAGAUGUCUUUCAGAAGCCAGUGAAAGACACUUCACAUGCCUGUACCUCUUUUCACCCUGGGAAAGUCACAAAUUCUGAGGACAGAAAGGUUUUCCCACCAGCCUCUUCUGUGGAGGGUAAAUCUCCAUCAUAAAGCAUUUUUUAAGCAGCUGACCAGGACAGGGAUGAGAAUGUGUUUCAGAGCUUUUCCCUGGUUCUUGAAAGUGCAAAAUAAGCCUGGUGGAAGCAGCCAGACCCUGCUGGACAAGUGGAUACAUCUGGCCUGACUUCUGCAGCUGAUGAAGGGUGGCCAAGGACUUCAAUACAUUCUGUGUAUUUAAGACCAUUUUGGCAUUUUAUUAUUCAACAAAACACUGACAAACCCUCAGAAGGAGAUUGAAGUACCCAAAGACACGUGGGAUUUGUCUGCUGCAACAGCAAGAGGGUUGGCCAUGGCAGGACUGAGCACAGAGAGCAGCUUUUGGAGGUGCUCCCAGGUGGUACAGCAUGGAUAUUCUCUCUCUGGGAAUGCUUGGACCCAAUUUACAGCUGGCAAACAUUGAAGAAAUCAAAUAAAACUUCUUUUGUAAUGUUACAGUGAAGCAAGAAGAGUUCUCUUACAAGGCAAUGAGAAGAGAAACUCUAGGAAGAGAAAGAUAGGAUUGAAUAAGAUUUCAUUCAUUUCUUGCCAUCUGGGAAUAAAAUUUGUGAGGGAAUACUGUUCUUAUCCUUAUAAAUGGCCAAUAUCUUCUCAAACCCAGCAAAGCAGAGGGCAGGCAAGGUUUAUGGUUCACAUUAGCAGAUUCUAGUGACAUGAGUUUACAAUAAUGGUCUAAUAGUUCAGUGUAACAGUGACUCAUAGCUUAUUACUGUGGUGAUAGGAAUGUAAAGAGAUCUCAUUUGAAAAAAAAAUAUAUUUGGAUAGUUCACAUCCUUUCCUCCCUACUCAUGAAUUCCUGUGCCAUUGACUGCUAGCUGCUAAAAAUAGGAUCCUUUUUGUGUAUCUAAAGGGAAACCUAGAAUCAAAGAGACAGUGGGAGGGCACCAAGCUCCUUCCACACAGGGACUUCAGAAAAUAUUCGUAAUGAAAGCCCUCUGAGAGUGCAGGAAUGUUUUUAAAAGAUGGGAGCAAUCUCAGACAGUAUUUUGGAAAGAAGAAGGAGAGGAAUUCAUGAAUCACAGCAGUUCCCAGCUUUGGUAUUUUGCACCAUAGGGGUGGGAGGUACAGGACCAAGCUGCAGCUUUGUCUUGGAGAAGCUGUUCCACUUCAGAAGCAGGAAACUCCAGGGAACAGCCCAGGAACACCCCUGUGGGCCAGGAGCCACAAGAGGAGACUCAUUAGGAGUCAUUUGAAGUUGUACAAGUCCCUUAAGGACAGCAGCAGGAAAGAGGAUCUGGGAGGACACGAGGAAGGUAUCUGCAAACAAAAUGGAUUAUCACCACCACCCCUUCAAAAAAGAAAAAAACCCACGUGGCACCUCAGAAACAAACUGCUGAAGUGUGAAAUCAUGCAGCAGGGAAAGCUGUCACAGAGAAUCAUAAAUUUAUUUAAUAGACACAAAUUGACUGCUGCAUGAUUUGUGCAGAUUGCUGCUUGCUGAGAAGGAGAGAGAUCCACAGCUCUGGAGAGCUGAGCUCAGGCAACGCCUGGCAAAAGGUGUGGAAAGCAAAAAUCUUGUCUUUGGUAAUUGUACGUGUACUGAAUGCUUCCUCUUCAGUAGGGAACAAUUAAAAUCGAUGGCAGGAUGCAAGGUAACAAAAGGAAAUGACUGAUCAAUAUUCAUGUCUUGGAGCUGAAGACAAGGCCGUCUGCCAAGAGCAGCAUGCUGAUGAGACGAGAUUCUGAGAGGGAAGCUGAAAAGCUUCCACUCCUGAUGCUCAAAAACACAACACAGCUGAGCAGAUGCCAGGUGCAGUGCUAGGAGAGGUGAAGGCACCAAGGAGUCUAGAGAAUAACUGUUAGGAAAAGCAGGGAAUAUUAAUUUUUAGACUAAAUAGAUUUAAAGUAAAAAAUGUGAUGCUUCUCUUCUUUGCCUUUGUAAAGAUGUCAAAAGCCCUUUACUGAUAUUGAAAAAUUAUGGUCUUUACAUACCUGCGCAAGGUUUUAGAGCUACUGAGACAGUGAUAUUUUAAGGCAAAUGUCCAGUUUAUUCUUUGGCUCAAAGCAUUUGAAAUCUCAUUUCCCUCUAUGUUUCACUGGGUGGGUUUCUGUCAAGUGCUACCAAAAAUCAAACACUAAAUCUUCCAUUAUUCAGUAGUUUUAAAUCUGUCACCUACAUUUCUGAAUACUUUUGAAAAUGUUGCUGUAAAGCUGACUGUAGGGUCUGCCAUGGCCCAGUGGGACAGGGAAGAGCAUGUGGAACUCCAGGUUUGCUUUCCCAGUUUUUCCCCUCCUGAGUGGUAUUUGUUCCUGAGGCAACAGCCUCAGGAAUGGCACAUGAGCAGUUAAACACCCCAGGUCUUGCAGCUCAUACAUCUCAUUCUGCUGACACAGCUGAAGAUCAGAGCCAGAAAAAUGCUGCAAAAACUUUGUGAAAGUUCACUUCCUGGUAACCCCACAUUUGCCUGAACUCAAUCCCCAUGAAUUCCUAACUAGCAUCCUAAACAGUGGAUAAAGACCUAUUGCAUCACCUCAUAACUUUGAUUUCAUUAAGAAACCACAGAAGAUUGGUAGCAUUGAUCCUCCAUGUUCUCACUGGGCUUGAAGCAAGGGUUCUCCUCGUGGCCUGCAUCAUGUCACCCACUGCCUCCCUGCAGAGCCCUCCUGCUCUCUUGGCACAGGUGAAUAAGCAGCCACUGCCCUGAGGGGCCAGCAGGACCCAGUGCAUCAUUCCCUGGAGAGACACUGCUUUACUCUAUCCUUGUGGGAAUGCAUGGAAGGACUGAGAGCUGUGCAAAAUCUGUCUGCUCAGGGGCAGUUUGGACUGUUGAGGAAAUGCUGGCAUGUUCCUCCCAGUGCCUCUGGGCUCCCAGCCAUCACCUGCCUCCUCACUGGGGGUUCUCCGUGUUUCCUAUGAAGGGGAGGCUUGGAAGCACAGGAUGGAACAGCUGUGCUGUCCUUGGGCUCAGCUGGACUCACUGCACGUUGUCCUGCUCUCCAAGGCAGUGGGAAAGUGUGUGGAAACAGGAGGAAAAAGUUCCAAGCAACCUUUUGUAGAGAGCCAGAGUUAAGUGUUUCAUGGACAGUGCAGAUACAUUCGUUCUGUCCUUCCAGUCCAGCCCCACCAAACCCACCCUAAGCAAGACUAGGAAUUGGGGAAAUGGGAAUCAAAACCCCUCCACUGGCUGUGAGGCAGGAGAAACUCCAUGAGCAGCUGACACAGCCUUCAUUCUCUGAACUGCAGGGAUGCAUCCCCUGCCUUUGUGGGCAUCUACCCAGCUGAGAUAGAAGGACCAGGAUGGGCAAGGACAGCCCCAACCUCUGCCAUGGCACGAGCAGCUUUAUCAGUGGAAGAGGAUGAGGAAAAGGCACUGCUAAGCUGGGUUCUGCUGCAGAACAGAAAAUGCAUUGUUAGUAAAUCAGACUUUGGAACUGCUUAAGACUUAAACACAGCUUCAAUUAAUUAACCUUUCACAGCACAGCAGAGCCCCAGAGUGAAUACAACACUAUUCAGUCCCCUGACUGCAGAUUUUGUUGCAAAAUAAACAAGUUUUUCCAGGGCUGGGCUUGAUAGUGCUGAUCAAGAGGUUGGGUUGGGUUCAAAGUCAUCUCAAAGUCCUAGUGGGGAUACGAAAAUGGUUGUAACACCUAGAGAAAAUUACCUUUAACGAAAUAUUUGUACACAGCACAUGUUGUAAAGCCCCAAAUGGUGUGACAGAGGUACUUUUUAAUAAAUUCUAUGAGCAUAUUUCCCA